GGGGAAUCUUCCGCAAUGGACGAAAGUCUGACGGAGCAACGCCGCGUGAGUGAUGACGGCCUUCGGGUUGUAAAGCCCUGUUAAUCGGGACGAAAGGUCCUCUUGCGAAUAGUUAGAGGAAUUGACGGUACCGUAAGAGAAAGCCACGGCUAACUACGUGCCAGCAGCCGCGGUAAUACGUAGGUGGCAAGCGUUGUCCGGAAUUAUUGGGCGUAAAGGGCGCGCAGGCGGCUUCUUAAGUCUGUCUUAAAAGUGCGGGGCUUAACCCCGUGAUGGGAUGGAAACUGGGAAGCUCAGAGUAUCGGAGAGGAAAGCGGAAUUCCUAGUGUAGCGGUGAAAUGCGUAGAUAUUAGGAGGAACACCAGUGGCGAAAGCGGCUUUCUGGACGAAAACUGACGCUGAGGCGCGAAAGCCAGGGGAGCGAACGGGAUUAGAUACCCCGGUAGUCCUGGCCGUAAACGAUGGGUACUAGGUGUAGGAGGUAUCGACCCCUUCUGUGCCGGAGUUAACGCAAUAAGUACCCCGCCUGGGGAGUACGACCGCAAGGUUG
This 550-nucleotide ribosomal RNA is filed under the name uncultured bacterium. RNAcentral describes it as "bacterial SSU rRNA". It matches the Rfam family "Bacterial small subunit ribosomal RNA", at positions 356 to 896 of the family's 1533-position model. The record is from RNAcentral.